UACCAGACUCCUACGGGAGGCAGCAGUGGGGAAUAUUGCACAAUGGGGGAAACCCUGAUGCAGCAACGCCGCGUGAGUGAUGAAGUAUUUCGGUAUGUAAAGCUCUAUCAGCAGGGAAGAAGAAAGACGGUACCUGACUAAGAAGCCCCGGCUAACUACGUGCCAGCAGCCGCGGUAAUACGUAGGGGGCGAGCGUUAUCCGGAUUCACUGGGUGUAAAGGGAGCGUAGACGGCCAAGCAAGCCAGGGGUGAAAGCCCGGGGCCCAACCCCGGGACUGCCCUUGGAACUGCUUGGCUGGAGUGCGGGAGGGGCAGGCGGAAUUCCUGGUGUAGCGGUGAAAUGCGUAGAUAUCAGGAGGAACACCGGCGGCGAAGGCGGCCUGCUGGACUGCGACUGACGUUGAGGCCCGAAAGCGUGGGGAGCAAACAGGAUUAGAUACCCCCGUAAG
RNAcentral lists this ribosomal RNA (449 nucleotides) under uncultured bacterium. Its description in RNAcentral is "partial 16S ribosomal RNA". It matches the Rfam family "Bacterial small subunit ribosomal RNA", at positions 329 to 793 of the family's 1533-position model. The record is from RNAcentral.